GUGCACUGUUCGUAACCUUCUGACAGUCACUUUUCUGACUUUGGGUUCCAUUCCAGUGCUACAUUAAUCCCACAAGAAUUUAAGGCCACCUGCUUUUUUAAGUUUGGCUGCUUUCAACGUUGGGAACAUUU
Molecule: small nucleolar RNA, 131 nt
Organism: Polyodon spathula (Mississippi paddlefish)
Lineage: Eukaryota; Metazoa; Chordata; Actinopteri; Acipenseriformes; Polyodontidae
Source: RefSeq, a predicted model, not a curated record